AUUAGACUGCAAAUUCCAUGAACGAGGGACAAUGUCUCUUCAGCACUAGUGUAGCAGUGUUACCGGAAAGGGGUCCUGAUCCAGACACCAAGAAAGGGUUCUUGGAUCUCGAGCAAGGAAGAAUUCAGGACAAGACCAUAGAGUAAAGUGAAAGCAAGUUUAUUAAGAAAGUAGAGGAAUAAAAGAAUGGCUACUCCAUAGGCAGAGCAGCCCGAGGGCUACUCGUUGCCCAUUUUUAUGGUUAUAGUCGGCUUCUUUACUGCUACCUGUUUCAUCAGUAAGGUCUUUAUGACAUGCAUCUUGUAUCUUGUAUCUUUAUGACCUCCUAUCUCAUCCUGUGACUUAGAAUGCAUAACCAUCUGGGAAUGCAGCAUAGCAGGCCUCAGCCUUACCCGGAGGCCCAACGUGGUGCUGCUCCUCACGGACGACCAGGACGAAGUGCUCGGCGGCAUGGUAACUCUUCUGUUUCUGCCCCGCCCCUCUAUCUCUUGGGCUGACUCCCCGGUUUGUUGCUCUCUUUCCCGGUCCCCACCACCCUCCUCCCCGAACUGGCUGUCUUAUCCUUGGGUAGGUUUGGUUUUCCCACCUGAGGCCCUUUAUGCCGGUGUAAGGGACUGCAAUACUCUUUUCCUUUCUGGAUUGAGGCACAUGCGUACAGCACACAGAGCUUCUAGUCUGGACCGUACUGCUGUGGAGUUUACGUUAAUAUCUCAAGAUAAACAUGUGGAGACCAGGGUCAAGAGAUCGAGACCAUCCUGGCCAACAUGGUGAAACCCCGUCUCUACUAGAAAUACAAUAAUUCUAUCUGGGCGUGGUGGCGCGCAGCUGUAGUCCCAGCUACUUGGGAGGCUGAGGAAGGAGAAUCGCUUGAACCCGGGAGGCGGAAGUUGCAGUGAGCCGAGAUCGCGCCACUGCAUUCCAGCCUGGCGACAGAGCGAGACUCCGUCUCAAAAAAAAAAAAAAAAAAAAAAAGGCCUGAAGUGAACUAAUCUGGUAGGCCGACCGUCGAACUAUUGAGGGUGUGUGUUGCCUUACAAGAAUCAAGAAAGUUGCAUUAGAGACUGUCAGUGUUUCAUUUUCUAUCUAAUGGGUGUUGUCACAAGACUUCAUUUUUUUUCCAGUGUUAAUUUUGCUUGUGUAUUGCAGAAUUAUGGAAUGUGUGACCUUUGGAAACAUCCACUCCAACCCCUUCCCCAUGGAGGCCCAGAAAGCAACUUGCCCAAGACAUGAGUAGUUGAGGCAGAGUCCUCUGACCCUGGGUUCAGCAUUCCUCUCUUCGCUUUAAAACCAAAUGCUUUAUUGCUUUCUUCGUUUCAGUUCUCUUUUUGCUUUCAGCUGAAUGCUGAGACUAUGAAAUACAACAGGCAAGACGUUCCUAACUUUUCUUGUGUAGUUACACACCCUAGCUCAGUGUCCUUCAAACCUCUGGUCCCAACCCUUGAGUGAGUUGUGAAAUCAGUUUAGUGAGUAACUACCAACAUUUUUUAUUUCCUCUGGAAUAGAAUAGAAUAGAAAAGGUCCAUGUGUGUGAGUGUGUGUGUUACACUUGAUAAAGGUAAUCAUUAUCUAUCUCUCUUUCUUCCCGAGUUGUAAAAUAUAUUUCUUAGGUUGAUGCUCAAGAGCUUGAGAGUCUUUUAUAGCUGAUGUUUUAAGAGGCUUGCAUUUUGACUACACAUUUCUUCCUGCCAUAUAUGCUUCAUUGUCUGUUAGUUUCUACCAAGCCAUGUUGACAUCGGUCUUAAUUUAAUUUUCCUCCUACACUUUAGGUUCACUACUCUUCCAACUACUGCACUUACUUGUCUGCUCACAAAAUAAAACUGGAAGGUGGUUAAGUGACAUGACUAAGUUCAUAUAGCUAAUAUUGGACAAAGCCUGGGUAUAAAAAGAUUACAGAUUGCUGCCAUAGUUGGCAAAAUAAACAGUGGUUAACCCCCACCAAACUCACUCAGGUCAAAGGAUUGUAUAUAACGUUCCUCUGGGUUGGAGUUACUGGUAUGCCUUGGUGAGUGAUUAUUGAAGUCUGUGACAAUUUUAUGCAGCCCUACAGAUGCAGAAUAUGUUUAAUUUAGCUCUGAUAUUGACAUAACUUUAUUUGCUUUUACAAUUAGUCAUUUUAAAAACCUUAAAAUUUAUUGACUUGUGGCCAGGUGUAGUGGCUCAUGCCUAGAAUCCCAACACUUUGGGAGGCAGAGACAGGAGAAUCUCUUGAGUUCAGGAGUUCGAGACCAGCCUGGGCAAAAUGGCGAGACCCCAUUUCAACAAAAAAUUUUAAAAUUAGCUGGGUGUGGUGGCAUGUGCCUGUAGUCCCAGCUACUCGGGAG
Molecule: long non-coding RNA, 2321 nt
Filed under: Pan troglodytes (chimpanzee)
Lineage: Eukaryota; Metazoa; Chordata; Mammalia; Primates; Hominidae
Description: long non-coding RNA NONPTRT003402
Source: RNAcentral